Molecule: long non-coding RNA, 1082 nt
Filed under: Equus caballus (horse)
Lineage: Eukaryota; Metazoa; Chordata; Mammalia; Perissodactyla; Equidae
Description: lncRNA (ENSECAG00000044603.1)
Source: RNAcentral
GUUGGGGGCUAUCCAGAAAUAAGAGCUGUUGAACAUAUGCCUUUAGACAGAACACAAGAAUUGGAUUAUUCCAUGUUUCCAGAGAAAGGACUUUAGCUGCCCAAACGCAUCGCUAGAGUUCCUUACUUGAAAACGAGUCACAGAAAACUAUGCUUUAAGAGCAGCUGGUGAAGAAACUGGUUAGUAAGUACCCUUAAAGAUGCUGUGGUAAGGACAGCAUUUGGUAGAGAGAUGUACAAUGGUUAAGAUCAUGUGUCCAGUCUUAUUAAUCAUAAAUAAAGGUAAAAGAGCCCUUAAAUGAGAUCUGUGGGGAAACUCAACACAAGAAGCAGAUGCUUAACUUCUAUGGGCACUUCUGGAAGCAUCCAUUUCAUGAGACAUCUCAUGGCCAAUGUCUCUGCGUUACAUAUGCAACAGUGUUUCUAGGUGCCAACACCUUGGGCCAGCAUAUGGGAUAUGAAGGUGAAUAAAACAGAGCAUCCACUGUUGCUUUGUUUCCCAUUGGAAGGACUAAAAUAUUUUGGUAAAAUGUGAUGGCUGCCAAAAUAGUAAAAUGCCCACUGUGGGAUGUGACAUAUAGCAUGUUAUACAGAAUAAAUUAAAAUACCUGGUCAAAGUGAUUUCCUGAUUACGUUUUUUCAGACUCUUCAGUCAGUGGUUUCCACCUGAAUUGGGAAGAUAUUUCUGUUUUUUUGUCCAUAAGCAUCAGCUCAGUGCCUAUGGCUAAUGUUCAGAGUUAACCCAUUUUUAUUAUAAUGCCUGUGGUUUUUGUAUUUGUUGUCGUUACUUAAUAUCCGAGCUCAUCUUCCCAUUUAAUGUCUUUUCUUUCAAGCAUAAAAUUUCCCCGCCUAUGCUGAAAUAGCAUUUUAAAGAAAAAGGGUUCCCAUAUGAGUGUGUAUUUUUAGGGCUAAAAGCAAAGAUCCUGUUAAGGUGAAUGCAAAAACUCCACUCUCUAAGUUAGCCUUGGGGCUGGUUAAGACCCAGAAGGUGGCAGGUAGAAGGAAGUGCUCAGGCCGGUUUGGGAAAUCAAUGGGAAAGUGUAAAAGUGGAAUUUCUUAAUAAUACCCCAUCCUGAAAACUAG